This 528-nucleotide unclassified non-coding RNA is filed under the name Dysphania kalpari. RNAcentral's name for it is "partial contains external transcribed spacer and small subunit ribosomal RNA". The stretch from base 424 to 528 matches the Rfam family "Eukaryotic small subunit ribosomal RNA", at positions 1 to 104 of the family's 1831-position model. Lineage: Eukaryota; Viridiplantae; Streptophyta; Magnoliopsida; Caryophyllales; Amaranthaceae. The record is from RNAcentral.
UGGUGAUUGGUUUAUUUGGUUGAUGGGCUCCGUGCUUGUGCAUUGAACCGUUGACCAAUAUGCCUCUUCAAUGUUUGCGCCAAGAGCUAUUUGGAGCCUUGGGUGAGUAUCGGUUUUCUGUGUUGCAUUCCAAUCGAAGGUACUCUUCCCGGUAACAUUAUUGUUUUUCGCCUAGUACUCUUAUGGGUGCCUGGUGGACCAAUGUAGCUAGAUUCGUUCCCCAGAUACAUCGGUGAGUUCAUAGUCCCGUUGUUAUGGUGUACGAUCCCUAGUUGUGCCCUGGGAUGCAGAAAGUUUGGUGGGGAUAGGCGUUCGCUUUAUCCCUAAUUAAGCAUUUUAUGCUAAGCAUGAACGACAGUCGUUACGAGUUGGACUUCCUUGCAAAGGGAGGGCCCAUGCGUACCGGUGUCGAUCGAGGAGUGCUACCUGGUUGAUCCUGCCAGUAGUCAUAUGCUUGUCUCAAAGAUUAAGCCAUGCAUGUGUAAGUAUGAACUAAUUCAGACUGUGAAACUGCGAAUGGCUCAUUAA